CCGGCCCUCUGGAUGCGAGGGGGGGGCGGCCGCGGGGCUCCUCGGUCACUUCUUCCCUCACCGCCGCCAUCACCCGUCCUCCAAACCCUGAGAAGGAGCACGCCCCACACCACCCGGAGAUUAAGAGCCCACAGGCACACCGACCCCAGCUGUGGAUAGCUCCGAGGCUUCCUUAAUUGGGAGAGAUACUGAUAACACUACUCCCGUGGAAGAAGCAGAUGUUUCAAGCUCCCCAGGGAAUGUAUCCUUUAACAGAAGACAGUCUUUCCAGCAACAAAGAUCCCAGACACAGCAAUUCUGCAGGAGUCAACAACUGGCAUUUAAAGGGGAUACUGGAUAGCAGAUUGCUUUGGGAACAUUUGGGGAGUUCGGUUCCCUUCGCUGUUAUUAGAUCUAACUUCUAUAAAAGUGUUUUGCACUGUGUCAACAUAGCGACUUCAUCAUUUCCAGUUCCUUGAUUUCUCCAAGCCGAGUUUCCUGUUUCCCUGGCAGCCAAGCCGAGCCGUGACUCAACUCCCGUUGUUAAUCCGGAGUGAAUUCACGUCCUUGCUUUGUUCCUGAAUCCAGAUCGCUUUUAGCCUAAUCUUUUUGCCUGCCUUGUAAUCCAAGACUUUUCAGUGACUGUGGACUUUGUUAUUUACUCCUGCUUUCUUGUUGCUUUCCCCGCUCAAGAACUUUUCAGCAGUUUUGAGCGUGUUUUGGUUUCUGGACUUUGGACAAUAAUAUUGUACAUAUCUCUUCAAUGCUUUGGACUAAUUCAUACCAUUCCUUAAAGGACUAUUGCUCACUCAUCCCUUCCACUUAUUCUUUCCUGAAUUUAUUAUUGUUUUAAUAAAGAUAUUAUAUGAUUA
Anolis carolinensis (green anole) is the source of this 851-nucleotide long non-coding RNA. RefSeq lists it as uncharacterized. The transcript is spliced from 2 exons. The record is from RefSeq and is a predicted model, not a curated record. Lineage: Eukaryota; Metazoa; Chordata; Lepidosauria; Squamata; Anolidae.